RNAcentral lists this ribosomal RNA (504 nucleotides) under uncultured bacterium. RNAcentral describes it as "partial 16S ribosomal RNA". It matches the Rfam family "Bacterial small subunit ribosomal RNA", at positions 28 to 506 of the family's 1533-position model. The record is from RNAcentral.
GACGAACGCUGGCGGCGUGCCUAAUACAUGCAAGUAGAACGCACAGUUUAUACCGUAGCUUGCUACACCAUAGACUGUGAGUUGCGAACGGGUGAGUAACGCGUAGGUAACCUGCCUGGUAGCGGGGGAUAACUAUUGGAAACGAUAGCUAAUACCGCAUAAUAUUGAUUAUUGCAUGAUAAUUGAUUGAAAGAUGCUAUUGCAUCACUACCAGAUGGACCUGCGUUGUAUUAGCUAGUAGGUGAGGUAACGGCUCACCUAGGCGACGAUACAUAGCCGACCUGAGAGGGUGAUCGGCCACACUGGGACUGAGACACGGCCCAGACUCCUACGGGAGGCAGCAGUAGGGAAUCUUCGGCAAUGGACGAAAGUCUGACCGAGCAACGCCGCGUGAGUGAAGAAGGUUUUCGGAUCGUAAAGCUCUGUUGUAAGAGAAGAACGGGUGUGAGAGUGGAAAGUUCACACUGUGACGGUAUCGUACCAGAAAGGGACGGCUAACUACGU